Molecule: ribosomal RNA, 499 nt
Filed under: uncultured bacterium
Lineage: Bacteria
Description: partial 16S ribosomal RNA
Rfam family: Bacterial small subunit ribosomal RNA
Source: RNAcentral
GACGAACGCUGGCGGCGUGCCUAAUACAUGCAAGUCGAGCGAAGUUUUUCUGGUGCUUGCACUAGAAAAACUUAGCGGCGCACGGGUGAGUAACACGUAAAGAACCUGCCUCAUAGACUGGGACAACUAUUGGAAACGAUAGCUAAUACCGGAUAACAGUAUUUCUCGCAUGAGAGAUAUUUAAAAGUUGGUUAUGCUAACACUAUGAGAUGGCUUUGCGGUGCAUUAGCUAGUUGGUGGGGUAAAGGCCCACCAAGGCGACGAUGCAUAGCCGACCUGAGAGGGUGAUCGGCCACACUGGGACUGAGACACGGCCCAGACUCCUACGGGAGGCAGCAGUAGGGAAUCUUCCGCAAAGGGCGAAAGCCUGACGGAGCAACGCCGCGUGAGUGAAGAAGGAUUUCGGUUCGUAAAGCUCUGUUGUUAGGGAAGAAUGGAUAUGUAGUAACUAUACAUGUAAGAGACGGUACCUAACCAGAAAGCCACGGCUAACUACGUG